This 253-nucleotide ribosomal RNA is filed under the name uncultured bacterium. RNAcentral describes it as "partial 16S ribosomal RNA". It matches the Rfam family "Bacterial small subunit ribosomal RNA", at positions 524 to 776 of the family's 1533-position model. The record is from RNAcentral.
UACAGAGGUCUCGAGCGUUGUUCGGAUUCAUUGGGCGUAAAGGGUGCGUAGGUGGCUAGGUAAGUCGGAUGUGAAAUCUCGGGGCUCAACCCCGAAACUGCAUUCGAUACUGCCUGGCUAGAGUACUGGAGAAGAGAUUGGAAUUUACGGUGUAGCAGUGAAAUGCGUAGAUAUCGUAAGGAAGACCAGUGGCGAAGGCGGAUCUCUGGACAGUUACUGACACUGAGGCACGAAGGCCAGGGGAGCAAACGGG